GAUGAAGAACGUAGCGAAAUGCGAUACUUGGUGUGAAUUGCAGAAUCCCGUGAACCAUCGAGUCUUUGAACGCAAGUUGCGCCUCAAGCCAUUAGGUUGAGGGCACGUCUGCCUGGGCGUCACAUAUCGUUGCCUGAUGCCAGUUUCCUCGUGAUGGGUGACUGUGCAGGGCGAAUGAUGGCUUCCCGUGAGCAUUGUUGCCUCAUGGUUGGUUGAAAAUUGAGUCCUUGGUAGGGAGCGCCGUGAUAGAUGGUGGUUGAGUGACGAACGAGACCCAAUCAUGUGAGACCCCUACCGAAUUUGGCCUUCAUGACCCACAUGCGUCUUUGGAACGCUCAUGACGAGACCUCAGGUCAGGCGGGGCCACCCGCUGAGUUUAAGCAUAUCAAUAAGCGGAGGA
RNAcentral lists this unclassified non-coding RNA (400 nucleotides) under soil metagenome. RNAcentral describes it as "partial contains 5.8S ribosomal RNA, internal transcribed spacer 2, and large subunit ribosomal RNA". The stretch from base 1 to 122 matches the Rfam family "5.8S ribosomal RNA", at positions 35 to 154 of the family's 154-position model. The record is from RNAcentral.